RNAcentral lists this long non-coding RNA (323 nucleotides) under Mytilus galloprovincialis (Mediterranean mussel). The record is from RNAcentral. Lineage: Eukaryota; Metazoa; Mollusca; Bivalvia; Mytilida; Mytilidae.
AGAAGAUGUGGUACAAGACAACUCUCCAUCAAGUCACAAUUUGUAAAAAAAUAAACCAUUACAUGUACGGUCUUCAAUACACCCUUUGCUCACACUACACAGCAAACCAUGAAGGAUUCCAAAAAUGACUAGUGGAAAAGCAGAAAAAUGAAACACUUGUGAACCACAUCAACAAACGACAGCCACAUACACUAAACAUCAGGUGCAAACAAAUGCAUGUUUAAUAUCCAGGGUAGGUACUUUGGAUAAUUUUACUGCAUUUUUGGGGAAGACGGCUUUAAGCCGUCAAUCCCCAAUUGGGUUGACCAGAGUGACAUUCCCUC